GAUACCCUGGUAGUCCACGCCGUAAACGAUGUCUACUUGGAGGUUGUGCCCUUGAGGCGUGGCUUCCGGAGCUAACGCGUUAAGUAGACCGCCUGGGGAGUACGGCCGCAAGGUUAAAACUCAAAUGAAUUGACGGGGGCCCGCACAAGCGGUGGAGCAUGUGGUUUAAUUCGAUGCAACGCGAAGAACCUUACCUGGUCUUGACAUCCACAGAAGAAUCCAGAGAUGGAUUUGUGCCUUCGGGAACUGUGAGACAGGUGCUGCAUGGCUGUCGUCAGCUCGUGUUGUGAAAUGUUGGGUUAAGUCCCGCAACGAGCGCAACCCUUAUCCUUUGUUGCCAGCGGUUAGGCCGGGAACUCAAAGGAGACUGCCAGUGAUAAACUGGAGGAAGGUGGGGAUGACGUCAAGUCAUCAUGGCCCUUACGACCAGGGCUACACACGUGCUACAAUGGCGCAUACAAAGAGAAGCGACCUCGCGAGAGCAAGCGGACCUCAUAAAGUGCGUCGUAGUCCGGAUUGGAGUCUGCAACUCGACUCCAUGAAGUCGGAAUCGCUAGUAAUCGUGGAUCAGAAUGCCACGGUGAAUACGUUCCCGGGCCUUGUACACACCGCCCGUCACACCAUGGGAGUGGGUUGCAAAAGAAGUAGGUAGCUUAACCUUCGGGAGGGCGCUUACCACUUUGUGAUUCAUGACUGGGGUGAAGUCGUAACAAGGUAACCGUAGGGGAACCUGCGGUUGGA
This 741-nucleotide ribosomal RNA is filed under the name Salmonella enterica. Its description in RNAcentral is "bacterial SSU rRNA". It matches the Rfam family "Bacterial small subunit ribosomal RNA", at positions 781 to 1522 of the family's 1533-position model. The record is from RNAcentral. Lineage: Bacteria; Pseudomonadati; Pseudomonadota; Gammaproteobacteria; Enterobacterales; Enterobacteriaceae. RNAcentral also lists the same sequence under 1 other name.